AUGAUGCUUGCCCAUGCUACCGGACGGUUAAAUCAGACCGCGCCUAUUCAGACAGUUGUUUGCAUUCCCUUCAUGGGUGGUGUGCUCGAGCUCGGGACGUCGGAUUUGGUNNNNNNNNNNNNNNNNNNNNNNNACCAGAUCGGCACAUCUUUCUGGGAGCUACCCUUCUCGGCAUGCUCGGAGUCUGAGGUGCCAAGCUCUAGUCCAUCGACAAACGAAACAGGGAACGGGGAGGUAGACAUCGUCAUGUUAGAAGACCUCGAUCACAAUGUCGUCGAUGGGAUGAUCUCUAAGCUUGGGGAGGUCGAGUGCAUGUCCGACAUCAACCUCGAUCAUGUCUCUGAGGAAGUGGACAAGUUCUAUGGCCUCAUCAAGGAGUUGGACAUGCGUUCUCUUGAGGACAACUGGGUCAUGGAAAGGUCAUUUGAGUACAUGUCUUCCUUGGAAAUGGCACCAGACAUGGAUGCACCAAGCAUUGACGAUGCCGUCAUCACUUUAAGUAGCUUUGUUAAAGGCUCUCAUCCAUCAUGUUUUACGGUGUGGAAGAGGUCAUCUGACUGGGAACACGUGGUUGCGCGGGUCACCGGGGAGUCACAAAAGUUGUUGAAGAAAGCUGUAGCCGGUGGUGCAUGGAUAGCGAGACCUCAAGAAAGUAACAUCAAGACACAUGUCCUGUCGGAAAGAAGGCGUCGGGAGAAGCUCAAUGAUAUGUUCCUAGUUCUCAAGUCAAUGAUCCCGUCCAUUAACAAGAUGGACAAAGCAUCCAUCCUUGCAGAAACUAUAACUUAUCUCAGAGAGCUAGAACAGAGGGUAGAAGAGCUACAAUCUAGCAGGACACCAUCAUUGCGCCCGAACGAAGCACCAGGACAAGGGCUCCAUGAGGUUGUCGGCAAGAAGAAGAUCAAGCUAUCAACUAGAUCCAAGAGGAAGGCGCUAGAGAUGGAGAGGGAGGAUGACGAUUGCCCAAACAAUGUCGUUAAUGUGACCGUGAUGGAGAAGGAGGUGCUCUUGGAGGUUCAGUGCCGAUGGAAGGAGUUGUUGAUGACACGGGUGUUCGACGUUAUCAAGAGCCUCCGCCUGGACAUCGUCUCUAUGCACGCAUCCACACCAGAAGGUCAUCUUGAUCUCAAGAUACGAGCUACUCAGCAGUUUGCAGUCGGUUAUGCUGCCAUUGCACCUGGGAUGAUCACUGAAGCACUUCAGAAAGCUAUAUGCAACCGCUAA
This 1224-nucleotide ribosomal RNA is filed under the name Triticum aestivum (bread wheat). RNAcentral's name for it is "partial small subunit ribosomal RNA". The record is from RNAcentral. Lineage: Eukaryota; Viridiplantae; Streptophyta; Magnoliopsida; Poales; Poaceae.